GCGGGAAAACUUUACACUGCACGAAAGUGCGAUAAGGGUAUCCUGAGUGCUUACAUUUCGGUGUAAGCUUUUGCCAAGAGCAAAUAUCUUGGCGAAUAAGUGAUGGGCAAGACCGGUGCCAGCCGCCGCGGUAACCCCGGCGUCACAAGUGGGGGCCACAUUUAUUGGGUCUAAAGCAUCCGUAGCUGGCUUUGCAGAUUCUUUGUGAAAUUGUUAAUCUAAACUUAACAGCGCGCAAAGGACACCUGCGAAGCUCGGGACUGGGAGGAGUCAGAGGUAUUCCUGGGGAAGCGGUAAAAUGUUAUAAUCCUAGGAGGACCACCGAUGGCGAAGGCAUCUGACUAGAACAGGUCCGACAGUGAGGGAUGAAAGCUAGGGGAUCAAAACGG
This 389-nucleotide ribosomal RNA is filed under the name uncultured euryarchaeote. RNAcentral's name for it is "bacterial SSU rRNA". It matches the Rfam family "Archaeal small subunit ribosomal RNA", at positions 339 to 727 of the family's 1478-position model. Lineage: Archaea; Methanobacteriati; Methanobacteriota. The record is from RNAcentral.